GACGAACGCUGGCGGCGUGCUUAACACAUGCAAGUCGAGCGGUAAGGCCCUUUCGGGGGUACACGAGCGGCGAACGGGUGAGUAACACGUGGGUGACCUGCCCUUAGCUCUGGGAUAAGCCUGGGAAACUGGGUCUAAUACCGGAUAUGACUCCAUGACGCAUGUUGUGGGGUGGAAAGCCUUGUGCGGCUAGGGAUGGGCCCGCGGCCUAUCAGCUUGUGGUGGGGUGAUGGCCUACCAAGGCGACGACGGGUAGCCGGCCUGAGAGGGCGACCGGCCACACUGGGGACUGAGACACGGCCCAGACUCCUACGGGAGGCAGCAGUGGGGAAUCUUGCGCAAUGGGCGAAAGCCUGACGCAGCGACGCCGCGUGAGGGAUGACGGCCUCGGUUGUAA
RNAcentral lists this ribosomal RNA (397 nucleotides) under uncultured bacterium. RNAcentral describes it as "bacterial SSU rRNA". It matches the Rfam family "Bacterial small subunit ribosomal RNA", at positions 28 to 428 of the family's 1533-position model. The record is from RNAcentral.